GUCGCCGUUAUGGCUGUCGUCAGCUCGUGUCGUGAGAUGUGUGGCUUAAGUCCAGCAACGAGUGCAACCAUUAUCAUUUAGUUGCCAGCGCGUACUGGCGUGAACUCUAGAGAGACUGCCCGGGUUAACCGUGAGGAAGGCGGAGAUGACGUCAAGUCCUCAUGGCCGUUAUAUCCAGGGCUACACACGUGCUACAAUCAUAAAUACAGAGGGCAGCGAGCCGGUGACGGCGAGCGAAUCCCUAAAGUUUAUCUCAGUCCGGAUUGGAGUCAUGCAACUCGACUCCAUGAAGUUGGAAUCGCAUAGUAAUCGCGGAUCAGCAUGCCGCGGUGAAUAUGUUCCCGGGCCUUGUACACACCGCCCGUCACACCAUGG
This 375-nucleotide ribosomal RNA is filed under the name uncultured delta proteobacterium. Its description in RNAcentral is "bacterial SSU rRNA". It matches the Rfam family "Bacterial small subunit ribosomal RNA", at positions 1038 to 1407 of the family's 1533-position model. The record is from RNAcentral. Lineage: Bacteria; Deltaproteobacteria.